AACGCUAGCUACAGGCUUAACACAUGCAAGUCGAGGGGUAACAUGAUCAAAGCUUGCUUUGAUUGAUGACGACCGGCGGAUGGGUGAGUAACACGUAUCCAACCUACCGUAUACACGGGGAUAGCCUUUCGAAAGAAAGAUUAAUACCCGAUGGUGUAAUGAGAUCUCCUGAUUUUAUUACUAAAGAUUUAUCGGUAUACGAUGGGGAUGCGUUCCAUUAGAUUGUUGGUAGGGUAACGGCCUACCAAGUCUACGAUGGAUAGGGGUUCUGAGAGGAAGGUCCCCCACAUUGGAACUGAGACACGGUCCAAACUCCUACGGGAGGCAGCAGUGAGGAAUAUUGGUCAAUGGACGAGAGUCUGAACCAGCCAAGUAGCGUGAAGGAAGACUGCCCUAUGGGUUGUAAACUUCUUUUAUAAGGGAAUAAAGAGCUCUACGUGUAGGGCGUUGCAUGUACCUUAUGAAUAAGCAUCGGCUAAUUCCGUGCCAGCAGCCGCGGUAAUACGGAAGAUGCGAGCGUUAUCCGGAUUUAUUGGGUUUAAAGGGAGCGUAGGUGGGAGAGGAAGUCAGUUGUGAAAUUUUAUGGCUCAACCAUAAACUUGCAGUUGAAACUCCUUUUCUUGAGUACACAAGAGGUGGGCGGAAUUUGUGGUGUAGCGGUGAAAUGCUUAGAUAUCACGAAGAACUCCGAUUG
RNAcentral lists this ribosomal RNA (694 nucleotides) under uncultured bacterium. Its description in RNAcentral is "bacterial SSU rRNA". It matches the Rfam family "Bacterial small subunit ribosomal RNA", at positions 32 to 715 of the family's 1533-position model. The record is from RNAcentral.